This is an unclassified non-coding RNA of Pongo abelii (Sumatran orangutan), 148 nucleotides long. It matches the Rfam family "Metazoan signal recognition particle RNA". Rfam says of the family: The signal recognition particle (SRP) is a universally conserved ribonucleoprotein. It is involved in the co-translational targeting of proteins to membranes. The eukaryotic SRP consists of a 300-nucleotide 7S RNA and six proteins: SRPs 72, 68, 54, 19, 14, and 9. NCBI's taxonomy places the organism in Eukaryota, Metazoa, Chordata, Mammalia, Primates, Hominidae. The record is from Ensembl.
GCUGGGAAUGGUGGCGGAUGCCUAUAAUCCCAGCUACUCGGGAGGCUGAGGCAGGAGAAUUGCUUGAGCCCAGGAGGCAGAGGCUGCAGUGAGCAGAGAUCAUGCCACUGCACUCCAGCCUGGGCGACAGAGCGAGACUCUGUCUCAA